UGGUCUCGAACUCCCAGCCUCAAACAAUCCUCCCACCUUGGCCUCCUAAAGCACUGGGAUUAUUAUAGGCAUGAGCCACCAUGCCCGACCCUCUAAAUCCCUUUGAAAGUGGGUUCAUGAAGCAUCUGCACAAAGGGCGGCUGCCUCCUUGGUGGCAGGGGCUGGAUUCACUGUCUUCAGGUGGCUGGGACAGGCAUGCCACCACCUUGGCUUCUGGCUCUCCAGAGCUUGGGAGCCUCUCUGCCGCUUGUCCCCUGUUCAUGCUGCACUUGAACCCACAGCAUGGAAGAGCCGCUCACUGCCACUUCAAAGUCAAGGGCCAGUUUCAUUCAGAUCAAGGUGAUGAUUUCCCAAAUUGAAUGUCUCCAAGCUGACUUGCUCCUCUCUGAGAACUUCUCAUUAUGGCCACCGGUAGAAGCCACUGUGUUUGACCUGGGUUUGGGUUUUGUUUCAGCAGCAAUGUUUGAGAGAUGAAUAUUUUACACUCUAGCUGGUGAGAGCUGCAAGGAAAUGUGGGGGCAUUCUUAUUGAGCUCCCCCCCACCACUUUAUGGAGGAGGAAACUGAGUCUCAGAAUGGGGACAGGACUAGGGGGCUAACUAGCUGCAGAGACAGACCUGGGUUUUGGCCCCUGAUGGCAAGUUUCCCCCCAGAUGCCUGUGCUGAACUGGGGACCCUCCUUAGGAGGGGGAUGGGGAUCUUCCUUUCACCAAUGCCAGCCACCCCAAUUCUGCUUCUAGGCUUUUGAGAAAAGACCAUAUGAUUCUGAGGUCUAGGGUGUGACAAGCACAGGCCUCAAGAGUUGACAGGGCUCAGGUUCUAGCUCUGUGAUCCUGGGGCCAUCGCCUUGCGGGGCAUUUGACUCACCCGUAAAAUGGAGCAAAUAGUACUCCCUUACAGCGCUGUUAAAAUUAAAUGAGCCACUUUAUUGAGAGCACCUGCCACAAGUGCUCUGUAUAAGUUCCUUUCAUUUAUUCCCCACUCUGGGCCAAUGUACUUCCACACUGCAGCAUCGUGGUUCUUUCUCACCUCAACCUGUAGGUGGGUGCUGUUUGUGUACCCCUUUUCCAGAUGAGGAAAUGGAGGCUCCCAAUGGUGACAUGGCUUGGUCAAGGUCAAAAAGCUAAUAAGAGUUGGAACUAGAACUAGAACCUCAAGGCUUUUCAGACAUCAGAUCUACGUUCAGAACGCUGAUCAUUCUCUUACUAGCCAGGUGGAGUCCUGGGGAGGCGCCCUGUUCCCUACAGCAACGCUGUCCACCGACGGUUCUUCAGUGGUGGGAAUGUCCUGUGUCUCCACUCUCCAAUACAGUCGCUGCUGGCCACAGGCUGCUAGCGAGCACUUGAAAUGAGGCUGGUGCCACUAAGGAACCAAAUUGUUAAUUUUGUUUAAUUUCAACUAAUUGAAAUUUAUAGUGAAAUACCCACAUGGGGCUGUGGCUUCCACACAGGACAACCCAACUGGAAGCCACUGUGUCUUUGCAUUACGUCAGAGGCUAAUCCUUGCCAUCAGAGCCAGUGGGUGUGGUGAGGCUCUGUGUGUGAGGCCCUGGACAUUUCUCAAGCACCUGCUGGUGCUCGGUGAGUAUUAGGCGCCCCUUCCUCCCGCUGGCUGGCUCUGUAAGUGGGGAGACCAAGUGGUUGUGUCUCUAGAAUGGAGGCUGAGGUGUGUUCGUGGCACAUCUGCCCAGUAAUGCGGAUCAGCAGGAGGUGUCUUUCCUGCACCCAAGGAGGCCUCCCAUUGCACCUGGGGGCUUGGCUUCACCUAUGUGACCUCACAUCCAGGCCUGCGCACCCGUAUCUGAGCUGGCAUUGUAAGAAGCCCUGGAUGGCCCCAUGAACUGGCUCCUGACAGCAGCGCUUGUGGCAAACCCUCCCUGCCCACAAACCCCCCGGUGGCCACACCUACAAGAGUGCCCCUUACCGGCCAGGCGCGGUGGCUCACGCCUAUAAUCCCAGCACUUUGGGAGGCCGAGGCUGGUGGAUCAUCUGAGGUCAGGAGCUCAAGACCAGCCUGACCAACAUGGUAAAACCCUGUCUCUACUAAAAAUACAAAAUUCGCUGGGCAGGGUGGUGCAUGCCUAUAAUCCCAGCUACACAGGAGGCUGAGGUGGGAGAAUCACCUGAACCCAGGAGGCAGAGGUUGCAGUGAACUGAGAUCGCGCCAUUGCACUCCAGCCUGGGCGACAGAGCAAAA
This 2195-nucleotide long non-coding RNA is filed under the name Homo sapiens (human). RNAcentral describes it as "non-protein coding lnc-BTBD16-2:1". The record is from RNAcentral. Lineage: Eukaryota; Metazoa; Chordata; Mammalia; Primates; Hominidae.